AACACUGUUGGAGUGUCGAAUGGACUUUGUCCAACCAUCUCUCUUGCCACACUUUGGUUAAUUUAACUAAAGUUCGAUAUAAUCUACCGAAGUUUCGGUAUAUUACAGUUUGAGAUUUGAGAAGUGAGUUUUAGCUCAGAUUUGGAUAAUUGAGCUUAUAUAUGCUGAUUUUGAGGUUUUGAUGUAAAAUCUUAAAAUUUUGAAU
This 205-nucleotide long non-coding RNA is filed under the name Ananas comosus (pineapple). Its description in RNAcentral is "long non-coding RNA (ACOM_LNC036217)". Lineage: Eukaryota; Viridiplantae; Streptophyta; Magnoliopsida; Poales; Bromeliaceae. The record is from RNAcentral.